RNAcentral lists this long non-coding RNA (1279 nucleotides) under Sus scrofa (pig). RNAcentral's name for it is "lncRNA (ENSSSCG00070006024.1)". Lineage: Eukaryota; Metazoa; Chordata; Mammalia; Artiodactyla; Suidae. The record is from RNAcentral.
CUCAAAGUUGGUGAGACAAGGAAAUGGCGAAAAACCACAGUGGAAAUGUGACUCACUCAGAAACUUCAGAAUGGCCAUGUGCUACUAAAAAGAAUUAGUCAUCCCCACGGCCUGGCCAGACGUCUCCUUGGAUCUCCUGUACAUAAUUUACUGGUCUUUCAGCGCCUGGUUUGUUCGGGGUGAACACUUGCUACCCGAGUGGGCAUCAUCCUCCUUGCCACGCGGUCUUCCUCGCCUCUCCUCCACCAGUGGCAACAGAGAUUCACCUAGGCCAUGUGUGCUCAGGAGGAUGCCUGCUGUAUACUUUCACCCACUGGAUUAAGAAUUAAAACGUUCUCUGCCUUUUCUAAGAGACUGAGUCAGCGUUCUCGUGUUCACAGCUGGGCAAAGUCAUGGACUCACUGGCAGAGAGCUGGCAUCAUAGUGCCUUCUGAUGUUUUUAAGGCCUUGUAUUGUUUCACUACGGUCUCUUGCUGCGACAACUUUAUGUAUCCAUUCAUUCCACAGUGUGGGAGUGUUUCCUGUUCACAUAGCUGGCGAGCUGAUACCCCGGGAGUUGCAAAACUAAGACAUGAUCCUUCUAUUGCAGCAGGACAGCGUAUAGGAUGCAGCCAGGGAGUCCGUUACCGAUCAACAAAGACUAGGCUGUAGUCCAGUUAUGGUUUCAAAAGGUCAUUCAUUUAGAAAAAAACUAAUUUUCUUGUAAUAGCCCAAUGACGUUUGUAUUUGCUAAAUAUGUGCAAGGCUUUAAGAAACAUUAUUUUAGAAUCUCAAAAUGUAAUUGGUUAAAACCUGUGCUUUCUGUGAUGUUUGUUUGCAUUUUAAUGUUUUUAGGAAAUGUAAUUUGGCUUAUAAAAUGCUAUCAAAAAGUUGAGUCAAAAACAGUUUUCAUACAAGGAGAUCCUGCUGGGUAGCAUUGAGAACUAUGUCUAGAUACUCAUGUUGCAACAGAACAAAGGGUGGGGGAAAAAAUGUAAUUGUAAUGUCUACAUGUAAGGAUAACCUGACCCCUUGCUGUACAGUGGGAAAAAAAAAAAAAAAAAAAAAAAAAAAACUACCAUGAGAUACCACCUCACACCAGUCAGAAUGGCCAUCAUUAUAAAUCCACAAAUAACAAGUGCUGGAGGGGCUGUGGAGGAAAGGGAACCCUCCUGCACUGCUGGUGGGAAUGUAAACUGGUUCAGCCACUAUGGAGAACAGUUUGGAGAUACCUUAGAAAUCUAUACAUAGAACUUCCAUAUGACCCCGCAAUCCCACUCCUGGGCAUCUAUCCGGACAA